Molecule: long non-coding RNA, 2274 nt
Filed under: Malus domestica (apple)
Lineage: Eukaryota; Viridiplantae; Streptophyta; Magnoliopsida; Rosales; Rosaceae
Description: long non-coding RNA (MDOM_LNC019268)
Source: RNAcentral
CAUUGAUGGACUAUAUAGUUGCCUUAGGGCCUUAGGAUGACUAUGAACCUUUGUUUAGAUUCAACACGAGCCUAGUGUUGAAUCUCGGUCUAGGGAUGGUGAUUGAUUUUAGUUACGCGUUUAAUCACAUUAAGGCGUGUUGUUCCUAGGGGCGUUGGACCCAACUACUCCAAUUUCAUGCAUAUCAAAUAAAACAAGAAAAGGAGUACUUUAAAGUAAAGAAGAGCUUAUGCUCUUUUACAACAAUUGAUCAAAAUAAAUUACUUUAAAGUAAAGAAGAGCAUAUGCUCUUUUACAACAUUUGAUCAAAUCAAAUUACAACCAAAAUCUAAUCUACACAUUCCCAUGGUUCAAACAAAUUUGAAACGGCCUUUCACAUAGCUCAAUUAUAUUAGGCUUAGGUUCAUAAUCACCCUUUCUUUAAUCAAUUAACACUUUAACCAAUUAAACUUGAAUGCAACAUUUUCAUUUGGUUUUUGUAUCCAUAGAAUUGAUUUAAAUGGAGCUAAAUGAAAUGAAAAUCCAAUUCUCAUUUAAAGAGAAAAAACCAUUUUGUUCUCAACCUAAUUUGGGCCAAAAUGCAAUAACCUCAACCUUUGGGCUAUGUUGCAAAACUUAAACUUUUGAGCUCACUUUGUAAAAACACAAAAGUCCACUACUUCAUGUAAUUACAACUAGAACUCAAAAAUUUCAAUAAAUUGAAAAACUUCAUUAAAGGAACAAAACAAUUUGUCCUUUAAUUAUUUUGGGCCUUUACGUAAUAACGUAAACUUUUGGGUCAAACUUGCAAAUACACAAAAGUACCAAAACUUUAUGUAAUUGCAUAAAAGCCCCAAAAGCACCCCACUUGAGGGAGGGCCGGUUUUGGGAGAGGAGUCCACAAAAAUUUUGAAAAUUUUUUCAAAGUCAUAAAGCCUUGCAAGUGGUGCAAGAUAAGUGUGACAUUAAUUCUUGCAAGUGGUGCAUGACAUAAAGUCAUGCAAGUGAUGUGUGUGUAAGAGAAGUACUUCUUACACACCCAUCACCAUUUCUAUCACCUUACACAAUUUCUAUCACAUUAAAACAUUUGAAAAAGCACAAAACAAAGACUUUAUGAAAUAAAUCAAAACUUUGAAUUAAAACACGAAACUUUUUGUUCUUGGCUAAAAUGUCAAGAACAAUGAAGAACAUUCAUGAAAAACCCAUAAGAGCUCCAUGAACAUUUUUCAUCCAAAGAAAUCCCAAAACCACUCAAACUAAAGGGAAAUAACAUAUAACCAAACUAGGGUACAUAGGGGUUCCAAAAGUUACUUGAAAACACCUUUAACAAGUCAAACAAGAACCCAAAAAUCCACCCUUUGGAUUUGGCCGAAAAUUCCCAAAAACAUGGCACCAAAUUUUAGCUCCAAUAUUCAUGCUCAUAUCAACUACAUCUACAACAUUUGAGAUGGUAAAUUUUCCAACAAAAUUUACAUUCAAAGAAGCAAGAAUAGAGCUUGUAACAUAUUACAACAUUUAAAUCAAAGACUAUGAACUACAAAACCCAAAAGGAUUCACCAACUACUAGACCUAGGCUCUGAUACCACUUGAAGGAAGAUUUGCAAAAAACAUGUUCAUUUAAGCAACAUCUAUAAGCAUGCAAUUAACAAUUAAAGGCUGAAUCAUGCUUGCAUGCACUUAAAAACAAAACAUUAACCAUGAAAUUCAAAGCCUAGUAGAUUGGUGAACCAAGACUCAACUCAAAUCAAAGUGAGUUGAGAAAUUAUACCUUUGUAGAUUCCUCUUUGCAUAAGCAAAACCUAAUCACCCAAAGAGAGGGCCUUCAUUCCUUGCAUCUUAGAUCUAUGGAUUUGGAUGGAUGAAAUGGUUCUCCAAGUUCUCAAAAUAGAGAACCUCUAAGUCUCCACACCAAUGUUAGAUUUAAGUAGAAAUGAGUGACCUUGGAGGAGUUGGAUUGCUAGCUAAUCCCUCCAAGGGGGCCGGCCUCUUUAGAGAGAAAUGGAGAGACAUGUUCUCUCCAAUUUUCUCCAAAAGAAACCCUUAAUGAAUUUUGGAUAUAAAGUCAUAUUUAUACCUUAAUUCAUUGGAGUGGCAAACUUGUAAAUAAGUCCAAAACCCACUCCAUUUCUAAAUGGCCGGCCAUAGGGAUUCAUUGGACUAUUUGGGCUUUUGUGAAUCAUUAUUCAUUAAGUUGUCAUACAACUUAAGUCAAUGGACUUGACGUUCGAAGCCCAUUGGGUCUUAAGGUCCAAACUAUCCCGAGGUCUUUAACGAACUUAUUCGUUUGAUUAAUUA